AGUCGAGGGGUACAGGGAAGCUUGCUUCUGCUGACGACCGGCGCACGGGUGCGGAACGCGUAUGGAACCUGCCCCUGUCAGAGGGAUAGCCCAUGGAAACGUGGAUUAAUACCUCAUGGUAAUGCGGGAUUGCAUGAUUUUGCAUUUAAAGAUUUAUCGGACAGGGAUGGCCAUGCGUAUCAUUAGCUAGUUGGCGAGGUAACGGCUCACCAAGGCGACGAUGAUUAGGGGCCCUGAGAGGGGGAUCCCCCACACUGGUACUGAGACACGGACCAGACUCCUACGGGAGGCAGCAGUGAGGAAUAUUGGACAAUGGUCGGAAGACUGAUCCAGCCAUGCCGCGUGCAGGAAGACGGCCCUAUGGGUUGUAAACUGCUUUUCUACAGGAAGAAUGAUACCCUCGUGAGGGUAGUUGACGGUACUGUAGGAAUAAGGACCGGCUAACUCCGUGCCAGCAGCCGCGGUAAUACGGAGGGUCCGAGCGUUAUCCGGAAUCAUAGGGUAUAAAGGGUCCGUAGGUGGAGCUCUAAGUCAGAGGUGAAAGGUUGCAGCUCAAAUAGUAGAACUGCCUUUGAUACUGGAGCUCUUGAGUCAUGUUGCUGUGGCCGGAACAUGUGGUGUAACGGUGAAAUGCAUAGAUAUCACAUAGAACACCGAUUGCGAAGGCAGGUCACAAAACAUGCACUGACACUGAGGGACGAAAGCGUGGGGAGCGAACGGGAUUAGAUACCCCGGUAGUCCACGCUGUAAACGAUGGAUACUAGCUGUUGGACUUCGGUUCGGCGGCCAAGCGAAAGUGAUAAGUAUCCCACCUGGGGAGUACGUUCGCAAGAAUGAAACUCAAAGGAAUUGACAGGGGCCCGCACAAGCGGUGGAGCACGUGGUUUAAUUCGAUGAUACGCGAGGAACCUUACCAGGGCUUAAAUGGGAGACGACAGGGGCAGAGACGCCUCUUUCUUCGGACGUUUUUCAAGGUGCUGCAUGGUUGUCGUCAGCUCGUGCCGUGAGGUGUCAGGUUAAGUCCUAUAACGAGCGCAACCCCUGCCGUUAGUUGCCAGCGAGUAAAGUCGGGGACUCUAACGGGACUGCCGGUGCAAACCGUGAGGAAGGUGGGGACGACGUCAAAUCAUCACGGCCCUUACGUCCUGGGCUACACACGUGCUACAAUGGUCGGUACAAUGGGAAGCUACCCUGUGAGGGGAUGCGGAUCUUAAAAGCCGAUCACAGUUCGGAUCGGGGUCUGCAACUCGACCCCGUGAAGCUGGAAUCGCUAGUAAUCGGAUAUCAGCCAUGAUCCGGUGA
Molecule: ribosomal RNA, 1302 nt
Filed under: uncultured organism
Description: bacterial SSU rRNA
Rfam family: Bacterial small subunit ribosomal RNA
Source: RNAcentral